Molecule: ribosomal RNA, 499 nt
Filed under: uncultured bacterium
Lineage: Bacteria
Description: partial 16S ribosomal RNA
Rfam family: Bacterial small subunit ribosomal RNA
Source: RNAcentral
GACGAACGCUGGCGGCGUGCCUAAUACAUGCAAGUCGAGCGGACUGAAUGGGAGCUUGCUCUUGUUCGGUCAGCGGCGGACGGGUGAGUAACACGUGGGCAACCUGCCCGCAAGACCGGGAUAACUCCGGGAAACCGGAGCUAAUACCGGAUAACACCGAAGACCGCAUGGUCUUUGGUUGAAAGGCGGCGCAAGCUGCCACUUGCGGAUGGGCCCGCGGCGCAUUAGCUAGUUGGUGAGGUAACGGCUCACCAAGGCGACGAUGCGUAGCCGGCCUGAGAGGGUGAGCGGCAUAGCUGGGACGGGGACACGGCCCAGCAUCCUGCGGGAGGCAGCAGUAGGGAAUCUUCCGCAAUGGGAGAAAGCCUGACGGAGCGACGACGCGUGCGAGCAGAAGGCAUUCGGGUCGUAAAGCUCUGUUGUGCGGGACGAAGGAGAGCCGUUUGAAGAAGGCGGCGCGGUGACGGUACCUCACGAGGAAGCCCCGGCUAACUACGUG